CGCACAUUGCGCCCCCUGGUAUUCCGAGGGGCAUGCCUGUUCGAGCGUCAUUACAACCCUCAAGCUUAGCUUGGUAUUGGGCUCCGCCAUCUAUCUGGCGGGCUUUAAAAUCAGUGGCGGUGUCGUUGAGGCCCUGAGCGUAGUAAAUAUCCUCGCUAUAGGGACCCGGCGAAUAUUGGCCAUCAACCUUAAUCUUCUAAGUUUGACCUCGGAUCAGGUAGGGAUACCCGCUGAACUUAA
RNAcentral lists this unclassified non-coding RNA (240 nucleotides) under Helotiales sp. RNAcentral's name for it is "partial contains 5.8S ribosomal RNA, internal transcribed spacer 2, and large subunit ribosomal RNA". The record is from RNAcentral. Lineage: Eukaryota; Fungi; Ascomycota; Leotiomycetes; Helotiales.